Molecule: long non-coding RNA, 615 nt
Organism: Caretta caretta (loggerhead turtle)
Lineage: Eukaryota; Metazoa; Chordata; Testudines; Cheloniidae
Source: RefSeq, a predicted model, not a curated record
CAACAGACGCUGCUGGCCAAAAGUCUCCAAUGAGUGCAUAGGGCUCAUGUGCACCAAGAGUGGAAUCUGUGGACAGCGCAUCUUGAAGAACUACUGUUACUGUUAGACCUAAUGCUAAAGCCCAUCUGAUGUUGAGAGAAUGAAGUCUCCUCUUCUCAUGGAAAGCAAGAUGUUUUGGAAAGAACACCGAUGGAAAUGAGAACAGCUAGCACCAUGUGACCAACCAACUCUCUACAGACCAUCACCUCUGUGAUGAACCUGGUAUAAGGAUCUGAACAGAAGGCUCAACGGACUACCAGUGGUCAACUGUAAUACUAAUAUCAGUGUUAACCCAUAUUUGUAUGGCAUUUUUCAAAAAUUCAUGUUCCUAUAUGCAAAAUUCAUAUUCUAUACUAAUUAUUACAGUAUCUAUUAUAUCUGUAAGAUGCAUACAAAUGUAAAGUAUCUGUUAUAAAGCAACUAAAGUCCAAAAUAUACUUAUUUUAAUUAUCUCAUGAAAAGUUUGGGUUGAAUAUUUUGCCUUUUAUUACCAAGGUAGCAUAACAUAGUUUCCACACUUUUACCAAAAGAGUAGCAGUCUUUGCACUGUACAAAGAUCUUUCUUUGUUAAUUCCU